UUCCGAGGCUGCCACAAUAAACAUGCACUGUACAAUGCUUCUUGGUGUUCUUCUCCCAACAGUUUGUAUAUGUAAGUAAUGUCAUCAUUCAGGUUUGAAUGAAUGGAGUAUGUUCAAAUACUGCAAUUAAUAUUUGGUUCACCUGUCUCAUUUUCUGAUUCACAUAGUUCUUUUUUUCCACACUAUAGUUCUGUGAUAAUAACAACUGGACAUGAUCAGACUUUCCUUGUUACCAGUGUAAAAUAAUCAGUGUUUUCUAACAAUUAUAUUAUUUACCAUUUCAUGUAUGCGUGACAGUGUUCUGAUGUUCUGUUUAUCUUGCAGAUUUGGUCUAUGGGCAGAAAGUCACCCAGUCAUCCUCUGAACUGACAGUGGAUGAAGGCAGAGAGGCUGAGUUAUCCUGUAGUACUGACAUAGCAGCUACCUAUAUGGCUUGGUACAUACAGAAGCCUGGACAAACACUGCAUUAUCUCAUUCAGGGUUUAACAAAAGCAGAAGAUAUGACUGGAGACUUCAAGGGUCGCCUCACACACAACUAUGACAGAACUAAAAAGCAGUUUCCAAUUACUCUCUCUAAACUGAGAAUCUCUGACUCUGGAACAUAUUACUGUGCUAUGGAAC
This is a non-coding RNA of Pelobates cultripes (western spadefoot toad), 621 nucleotides long. Lineage: Eukaryota; Metazoa; Chordata; Amphibia; Anura; Pelobatidae. The record is from the annotation of a GenBank genome assembly.